GUGAACGCUGGCGGUAGGCCUAACACAUGCAAGUCGAACGGCAGCACAGUAAGAGCUUGCUCUUCCGGGUGGCGAGUGGCGGACGGGUGAGGAAUACAUCGGAAUCUACUUUUUCGUGGGGGAUAACGUAGGGAAACUUACGCUAAUACCGCAUACGACCUACGGGUGAAAGCAGGGGAUCUUCGGACCUUGCGCGAUUGAAUGAGCCGAUGUCGGAUUAGCUAGUUGGCGGGGUAAAGGCCCACCAAGGCGACGAUCCGUAGCUGGUCUGAGAGGAUGAUCAGCCACACUGGAACUGAGACACGGUCCAGACUCCUACGGGAGGCAGCAGUGGGGAAUAUUGGACAAUGGGCGCAAGCCUGAUCCAGCCAUACCGCGUGGGUGAAGAAGGCCUUCGGGUUGUAAAGCCCUUUUGUUGGGAAAGAAAAGCAGCAGGUUAAUACCCCGCUGUUCUGACGGUACCCAAAGAAUAAGCACCGGCUAACUUCGUG
RNAcentral lists this ribosomal RNA (491 nucleotides) under uncultured bacterium. Its description in RNAcentral is "partial 16S ribosomal RNA". It matches the Rfam family "Bacterial small subunit ribosomal RNA", at positions 29 to 507 of the family's 1533-position model. The record is from RNAcentral.